UGGGGAAUAUUGCACAAUGGGCGCAAGCCUGAUGCAGCCAUGCCGCGUGUAUGAAGAAGGCCUUCGGGUUGUAAAGUACUUUCAGUCGGGAGGAAGGUGGUAAGGUUAAUAACCUUAUCAAUUGACGUUACCGACAGAAGAAGCACCGGCUAACUCCGUGCCAGCAGCCGCGGUAAUACGGAGGGUGCAAGCGUUAAUCGGAAUUACUGGGCGUAAAGCGCACGCAGGCGGUUGAUUGAGUCAGAUGUGAAAUCCCCGGGCUUAACCCGGGAAUUGCAUCUGAUACUGGUCAGCUAGAGUCUUGUAGAGGGGGGUAGAAUUCCAUGUGUAGCGAUGAAAUGCGUAGAUAUAUGGAGGAACACCAGUGGCGAAGGCGGCUCUCUGGUCUGUAACUGACGCUGAGGCUCGAAAGCGUGGGGAGCAAACAGG
RNAcentral lists this ribosomal RNA (429 nucleotides) under Chloroflexota bacterium. RNAcentral describes it as "Chloroflexi bacterium partial 16S ribosomal RNA". It matches the Rfam family "Bacterial small subunit ribosomal RNA", at positions 355 to 776 of the family's 1533-position model. The record is from RNAcentral. Lineage: Bacteria; Bacillati; Chloroflexota.